Non-coding RNA from Heterocephalus glaber (naked mole-rat), 2767 nucleotides. Lineage: Eukaryota; Metazoa; Chordata; Mammalia; Rodentia; Bathyergidae. The record is from RefSeq and is a predicted model, not a curated record.
AACAUUAUUAAAAACAUUAAAAAUUUGACAAAAUUAUAGAAAUCUAAAGGUAAUUCAAUAAUUUUCCUCACUAAAACAUGUAACUGUAACAAGUGAGUUACCCCAGAUAAUUUUGGAUUUGCCCAAACUUCCCUUAGUUCUGGUAUCUUUUAGCGAGUUUAAGUGCUAACACCGGCCACCUGGUACUUGUUUUUUCUUUGAGGGUCAUUACUGAGGCAACACAUACAUAGUAAGUUUUCCGGUAAAGACUCCUUGUUAUCAAGUUACUUCAAACAUUAAGCACUCACACCUCCUAUGCGGUAUCACCCUGGGCCUGGUAGGUAUUACACAUGUAAGCAGUGAUACAUAUACAUUUCAUAAAUAGGAAAAAUGUAUAUGUCUAUAGUUUUUCUUACAGUUGUCUUCCCCAGGGACUUAAAUAAUUAUAUUUUCAGUGAAUGGAUAGGUGGGUGGUGGGAGGUAAAAGAAAAGAAGGAAAGAGUUUUUAAUUCUUGAAAAAACUGCUGUAGUUGUUUUCCACUUAGCAAAAUAGUUAUUUGCAGUUAAGAACUGUACAUAAUAUAUAUUUAAAGAUUUUUGUGGUGCUUGUGGAUUUUCCCCCUUGCUCAUUUUAGUGUCUAUUCUGUACCUUAAAAAGAUUUCCAAAUGACAAUCAAAAUCUAAAUGCUUUAAGAGAACUUUUAGAAAGAAAACACUUCCUUGGCUUUAUAAUUCAAGGAUAUUAAUACAAAAACAUAAAUGUACAGCAGGUAUAAAAGAUAAAAUUGUUUACUAGAUUUUGCAUAUGCAGUUCACAUCCUGAUCUCUUUUUCCUUUUGUUGGAGCAUUAAUUUGAAAAUGAUAAGCAUUCUGGAAUGUUUGCUACAAACACAAAUUCAUAGUAAAAAUAUACAUGCAUCUGCAAAAUAUCAAAUGGAGAAUACAAAGCUCCGAGGCAAUCAGAAUUGUUGAAAAGCCUCUGUCUAGACUACCUUUUGCUUGAACUACUAUCUCAUAGGUGAGGUAAAUAAUCUCUCUGGGGUUUUGUCAUUUAUGUAAUAGAAACAAAAAUAAAAUACAAAUAUCUGCUUCCUUACUGCCUUUUCUUAAUAACCGACAAGUGGCAGGGCUGGUACCUUUUAAACAGAUGGAUGCAAAAACUUGUGAGAUCGAAUAAACUGAUGUACCCCAUCAGGUAUUUUGGGAGCCCAAAUUUCAUAAUUAACUUUUUACCCAAGUGGUAAAAGUGGAAGAUGUUCUCACUACUAAAUUGAUUAUUUGAUAGGCUCUUGUUCUUUCCUCCACAAGAUUUUGGAGAUCCAGAAAAGGAAAAGACAUGAUAAGAGAAGAUGCAUCCUGAACAACUUUUAUUAUGAAGAAGCUGAGGCUCUGACAAGUGCAGUUACUUUCACGAGGUGCACAGUUAAGAGGCAGCACUGCUGUGCUUCAUACUGACAGUGCUUGAUCUCUUCUCUUUUACAUUCUCCAUCCCCAGACACUUAACAUCUUUGGCUGGAUUUUCUAGGAGUUUCUUUGGGAUAUGCCAUUAGGUUUGUGAACAAAAUAAGUAUAAAAAUAAUUAUAAAUAUAUAUAUAUAUAUGCAUGUAUGUUGAAUCAGCUAAGCAUAUAUGUAAACUUAGAAUACAUGAUUAUAUACACAUUUUCUAUGUUCCAUAUAUAUAUGCCAUACACAUAUUUAACAGACAACACUUGUUAGCACUUACAAUGUGCCAGAUAAGUGAGUUCUUUACAUUAUUUACUUAGUCAUUAUGACAUCUCUAUAAGGUAGAAAUUAUUAUAAUUAUUCAUUUUUAUGAUGAGAAAAGUAAAGCACAUCCCCACUAAGUGGCACAGCCCAAGAUCCUUUACAUUACUUGUCUUCUUUUGGGACUUUUCCUACUCGUUACCCCCUUGAGAGCAUAAGUGAUUUCUGACUUAUUGUCUUUAAGAUUCUGCUUCCUCUUAGAGAUAAGAAGUAGACCUUAGAAGGAAGCAGAACUCAAACAUUUGUCAGUCAGUGACUUUCUUGCUAGGGAACAUAAAGACCCAAUUUUGCAGAGAAUUCCCAACUCCAUAGAGAAGAAAGUCCACAAAGUAAGAUAUUAUGGCCUGUAAAGUAAAGGAGUUACUUUGGGUGGUUGAACUUUCUGGAGCUCUCAAAUGAUAACACAUGUACAACCAUCAAUAUAUAAAUCCAACUUAAUUCAAGGUAUAUUUAAUGAACACCUGCUGGGAGCAAAGUACUCUGGUAGGACCUAAGCUCUAGAAAGUAGUUCCAAAGAUAGGUAAGAUGCCAUAAACCUAAUAUUUGAAAUAUGACAGAAAAUAAACUCUACAUAACUAAAACACAACACACAGUAGGAUGAAUACCAUAAAGGAUUAUUAACUAUAUUUUUUAGAGUUUAGUGAAUUGAGAAAACCACUGGAUGGUGGACACUAAAAGAUGUCACUUGGAAAAGACGAGGUUUUAGAUGGACUUUGGAAUAUGAGCAAUUUCCAAAUAUUAGAAAUUGGAGGCAUAGGAUUUAGGUAAGGGGUAGAAAAUGAAUAAAGAAUGAGAAUAGCAAAGCACAAGUAUGUUUGGGAACAAUUUGGUUAGCUUCCUGAACACUCAAAGGGUAGCAACAGAAGUUGGAGAUGCCAUGGGUGGAACAUCCACUUGGAAAUGCUUUAGUCUACUGUAGGAAAGUACUAGAGUCUACAGGCAGAAUGAAAUGCUCAGACUAUCAAGAUGAUGUGAAAAAAUUGCCUACAGAUUUCAAGAAUGCCAUGAGGGAAAAAACAAAA